This 82-nucleotide transfer RNA is filed under the name Muribaculaceae bacterium. RNAcentral describes it as "tRNA-Leu". It matches the Rfam family "tRNA". From Rfam's summary of the family: Transfer RNA (tRNA) molecules are approximately 80 nucleotides in length. Their secondary structure includes four short double-helical elements and three loops (D, anti-codon, and T loops). The record is from RNAcentral. Lineage: Bacteria; Pseudomonadati; Bacteroidota; Bacteroidia; Bacteroidales; Muribaculaceae.
GCCCUGAUGGCGGAAUUGGUAGACGCGCUGGUCUCAAACACCAGUGGAGCGAUCCGUGCCGGUUCGAUCCCGGCUCAGGGUA